This 464-nucleotide ribosomal RNA is filed under the name Vreelandella stevensii. RNAcentral's name for it is "partial 16S ribosomal RNA". It matches the Rfam family "Bacterial small subunit ribosomal RNA", at positions 338 to 795 of the family's 1533-position model. The record is from RNAcentral. Lineage: Bacteria; Pseudomonadati; Pseudomonadota; Gammaproteobacteria; Oceanospirillales; Halomonadaceae.
CCUACGGGCGGCAGCAGUGGGGAAUAUUGGACAAUGGGCGAAAGCCUGAUCCAGCCAUGCCGCGUGUGUGAAGAAGGCCUUCGGGUUGUAAAGCACUUUCAGUGGGGAAGAAAGCCUUGGGGCUAAUACCCUCGAGGAAGGACAUCACCCACAGAAGAAGCACCGGCUAACUCCGUGCCAGCAGCCGCGGUAAUACGGAGGGUGCGAGCGUUAAUCGGAAUUACUGGGCGUAAAGCGCGCGUAGGCGGUCUGAUAAGCCGGUUGUGAAAGCCCCGGGCUCAACCUGGGAACGGCAUCCGGAACUGUCAGGCUAGAGUGCAGGAGAGGAAGGUAGAAUUCCCGGUGUAGCGGUGAAAUGCGUAGAGAUCGGGAGGAAUACCAGUGGCGAAGGCGGCCUUCUGGACUGACACUGACGCUGAGGUGCGAAAGCGUGGGUAGCAAACAGGAUAGAUACCCCGGUAGUC